This 91-nucleotide transfer RNA is filed under the name Agathobacter rectalis. RNAcentral describes it as "tRNA-Ser". It matches the Rfam family "tRNA". Rfam says of the family: Transfer RNA (tRNA) molecules are approximately 80 nucleotides in length. Their secondary structure includes four short double-helical elements and three loops (D, anti-codon, and T loops). Further hydrogen bonds mediate the characteristic L-shaped molecular structure. tRNAs have two regions of fundamental functional importance: the anti-codon, which is responsible for specific mRNA codon recognition, and the 3' end, to which the tRNAs corresponding amino acid is attached (by aminoacyl-tRNA synthetases). tRNAs cope with the degeneracy of the genetic code in two manners: having more than one tRNA (with a specific anti-codon) for a particular amino acid; and 'wobble' base-pairing, i.e. permitting non-standard base-pairing at the 3rd anti-codon position. RNAcentral also lists the same sequence under 1 other name. Lineage: Bacteria; Bacillati; Bacillota; Clostridia; Lachnospirales; Lachnospiraceae. The record is from RNAcentral.
GGAGUAGUAAACCUAAUUGGUAAGGUAGGAGAUUGCUAAUCUCUGAGUAAUCGUUUCGUGCGGUGUGGUGGUUCGAGUCCACUCUACUCCG